GUGAGGAAUAUUGCUCAAUGGGCGAAAGCCUGAAGCAGCGACGCCGCGUGAAGGAUGAAAUUCUUUUAGAAUGUAAACUUCUUUUGCAGGGGAAGAAUGUGACGUUUUUGCGUCAUUGACGGUACCCUGUGAAUAAGCACCGGCCAACUACGUGCCAGCAGCCGCGGUAAUACGUAGGGUGCAAGCGUUGUCCGGAAUUACUGGGUGUAAAGGGUCCGCAGGCGGGUAAACAAGUCGGUGGUGAAAUCCUGCAGCUCAACUGCAGAACUGCCUCUGAUACUGUUUAUCUUGAGUUCGAGAGAGGAUGAUGGAAUUCAUGGUGUAGCGGUGAAAUGCGUAGAUAUCAUGAAGAAUACCAGUUGCGAAGGCGGUCAUCUGGCUCGAUACUGACGCUCAUGGACGAAAGCGUGGGGAGCAAACAGGAUUAGAAACCCCGGUAGUCC
RNAcentral lists this ribosomal RNA (443 nucleotides) under uncultured bacterium. RNAcentral describes it as "bacterial SSU rRNA". It matches the Rfam family "Bacterial small subunit ribosomal RNA", at positions 354 to 796 of the family's 1533-position model. The record is from RNAcentral.